AUUGAACGCUGGCGGCAUGCCUUACACAUGCAAGUCGAACGGUAACAGGUCUUCGGAUGCUGACGAGUGGCGAACGGGUGAGUAAUACAUCGGAACGUGCCUAGUAGUGGGGGAUAACUACUCGAAAGAGUGGCUAAUACCGCAUGAGAUCUACGGAUGAAAGCAGGGGAUCGCAAGACCUUGUGCUACUAGAGCGGCCGAUGGCAGAUUAGGUAGUUGGUGGAUAAGAGCUUACCAAGCCGACGAUCUGUAGCUGGUCUGAGAGGACGAUCAGCCACACUGGGACUGAGACACGGCCCAGACUCCUACGGGAGGCAGCAGUGGGGAAUUUUGGACAAUGGGCGAAAGCCUGAUCCAGCAAUGCCGCGUGCAGGAUGAAGGCCUUCGGGUUGUAAACUGCUUUUGUACGGAACGAAAAGCCCCGGGUUAAUACCCUGGGGUCAUGACGGUACCGUAAGAGUAAGCACCGGCUAACUACGUGCCAGCCGCCGCAGUAA
This 497-nucleotide ribosomal RNA is filed under the name uncultured bacterium. RNAcentral describes it as "partial 16S ribosomal RNA". It matches the Rfam family "Bacterial small subunit ribosomal RNA", at positions 30 to 523 of the family's 1533-position model. The record is from RNAcentral.